GAGAAAUGAAGACGGAAACCUUCGGGCGGAAGGCUUCAUUUCGAGUGGCGGACGGGUGAGUAACGCGUGGGUAACCUGCCUCAUACAGGGGGAUAACAGUUGGAAACGACUGUUAAUACCGCAUAAGACCACAGCACCGCAUGGUGCGGGGGUAAAAACUCCGGUGGUAUGAGAUGGACCCGCGUUCGAUUAGCCAGUUGGCGGGGUAACGGCCCACCAAAGCGACGAUCGAUAGCCGAUCUGAGAGGAUGACCGGCCACAUUGGGACUGAGACACGGCCCAAACUCCUACGGGAGGCAGCAGUGGGGAAUAUUGCACAAUGGGGGAAACCCUGAUGCAGCGACGCCGCGUGAGUGAAGAAGUACUUCGGUAUGUAAAGCUCUAUCAGCAGGGAAGAAAAUGACGGUACCUGAGUAAGAAGCCCCGGCUAACUACGUGCCAGCAGCCGCGGUAAUACGUAGGGGGCAAGCGUUAUCCGGAUUUACUGGGUGUAAAGGGAGCGCAGACGGUUGCGCAAGUCUGAAGUGAAAUCCCGAGGCUUAACCACGGGACUGCUUUGGAAACUGUGCGACUUGAGUAUCGGAGGGGCAGGCGGAAUUCCUAGUGUAGCGGUGAAAUGCGUAGAUAUUAGGAAGAACACCGGUGGCGAAGGCGGCCUGCUGGACGAAAACUGACGUUGAGGCUCGAAGGCGUGGGGAGCAAACAGGAUUAGAUACCCUGGUAGUCCACGCGGUAAACGAUGAAUACUAGGUGUUGGUGCCCCAAGGGCAUCGGUGCCGUCGC
This 783-nucleotide ribosomal RNA is filed under the name uncultured Eubacterium sp. Its description in RNAcentral is "bacterial SSU rRNA". It matches the Rfam family "Bacterial small subunit ribosomal RNA", at positions 50 to 852 of the family's 1533-position model. Lineage: Bacteria; Bacillati; Bacillota; Clostridia; Eubacteriales; Eubacteriaceae. The record is from RNAcentral.